This 1415-nucleotide long non-coding RNA is filed under the name Brassica napus (rape). RNAcentral's name for it is "long non-coding RNA (BNAP_LNC012218)". The record is from RNAcentral. Lineage: Eukaryota; Viridiplantae; Streptophyta; Magnoliopsida; Brassicales; Brassicaceae.
CAAAGAUCUAUGUAACCCAAACGACCUUAACACCCUCCUCAAGAUCGAGAAAUCCUUCAAUUUCAACUUUAUCAUGCAGAACCAUCUGCCUAGAAGGACAUCCAGGUAGAUGGUUCUAGGUAAAUGUCCUUCUCUGUACAUUUCAAAGUUCCAUAAUGUAGCACUAAGUUUCCGAGAAGUAUCAGUUUAAACCUAUAAAAAAUAUGUAUUACUAGCUCGAAGUGAUCAGCUCGCAUCGCAAAAGGUAGAGGUUUCCACAAAGAAUUAUCCUAUGUUUCCACCUAUUUGUAAUAAAAGUCUGAAAUAACUAAAAACUAAGAUAAUAUUUCGAACCAUGUUUACAUUUUGCAGACACAUAAAUAAUUUUUGCUAUGAGCUUCACUUCAAGAGGCCCAAUUAAUUACCUUCUUAAAACACUAGCUUUGGGCUGUUAAUUUACGGUAAAUACAUAAAACUUUUGUAAAAUUUUUGAAAGAGAAACAUUCUUGAAUCCGGACAGGAUCUUGUUGAAAACGUAAUAAUCCAGCAAGUUCCAUUGAUUACGUUAAUAUGAUUCAGGUACCACUAAAAUUUAACCACAAACACUACCGUUAUAGUGGGAAGACAACACAAAACAGCAAAUAAAAGAGUUAUUUUUGCAUAGUAAACCAUCUUCGUGACCAGAAAAGUACCACAACACAAUGCAUGAGGAAACAGAUCUCUUUCUAACUGAGGGUCUCGAGGCAUGCUAGAAUUCUCUCAUACUUAGUCAUCAUCAUGAUUGCAAACAUUCUACAAAGAAUAAUAGAUUCAAUUAGUUAUUUUAACAAGUAAAAGGUACAAUAUAAAGUAAAUCUUAUACUAAUAAUACCUUGAAAGAGACGAACUCUGUUACCGUGUUAGGUUUGACCGCAAAACGUACGUAACCCCGAUCCCCAAUAUCUAUAUCACCAAGACAGUCUUGACAUUCAAGAUACUGAUCCCCAUACCUGUCUAUACCGUCACCUACAAAAGAAGACAUUAAAUACUUUUUAAAAUGAAAAUAAAAACAUAAACGAAAAAUAUAAUCAGUCUGAACCUGUAAGCAGCAUGGUAUGAAAAUCUAGCUUGCAAGGUUUGCCCUUAUCCUUAGCCAACUUGUAGGCUGCAAACUCAUCUUCUGUAGGCUUGUAUAUGUCCUAUAAUAUGAAAAUUAACAACAGCAUCAGAAGUAGGAAUAUGUAAAUAACAGAAGGGAUAUAAGACGAGGUGAACAAAACAGGUAAGAGUUACUUACAUCUAGUUUCUUGGAUUUGGUUUUGUAGGAUGGGAACAUAGGCAAAGAGAACGUGAGCGGUCCUCCAUCUAAUUCAGCCAACAUCUCCUCAACCAUCCAUUCUUCUGGGACCUCUUCUCCAGCAGUCAUAACUUUUAUUUGAGGAGCUUCGAAAACACGA